This 254-nucleotide ribosomal RNA is filed under the name uncultured bacterium. RNAcentral describes it as "partial 16S ribosomal RNA". It matches the Rfam family "Bacterial small subunit ribosomal RNA", at positions 524 to 777 of the family's 1533-position model. The record is from RNAcentral.
UACGAAGGGGGCUAGCGUUGCUCGGAAUCACUGGGCGUAAAGCGCACGUAGGCGGAUUGUUAAGUCAGGGGUGAAAUCCUGGAGCUCAACUCCAGAACUGCCUUUGAUACUGACGGUCUUGAGUUCGGGAGAGGUGAGUGGAACUGCGAGUGUAGAGGUGAAAUUCGUAGAUAUUCGCAAGAACACCAGUGGCGAAGGCGGCUCACUGGCCCGGUACUGACGCUGAGGCACGAAAGCGUGGGGAGCAAACAGGG